This 72-nucleotide transfer RNA is filed under the name Ochetellus glaber. RNAcentral's name for it is "tRNA-Lys". Lineage: Eukaryota; Metazoa; Arthropoda; Insecta; Hymenoptera; Formicidae. The record is from RNAcentral.
CAUUAAAUAACCAAAAUGUAAGUAUUGAUCUUUUAAAUCAAACAAUAAUAGUUUAACGCCUAUUUUUAAUGA